Long non-coding RNA from Camelina sativa (false flax), 2099 nucleotides. RefSeq lists it as uncharacterized. The record is from RefSeq and is a predicted model, not a curated record. NCBI's taxonomy places the organism in Eukaryota, Viridiplantae, Streptophyta, Magnoliopsida, Brassicales, Brassicaceae.
UUUCCGUGAUUUGAACUACAUACUUUAAUUUCUUAUUUUUCGCCUUCAUUUUGUAGAUGUUUUAGUUUAUGAAUCCUCUUGUAUUUUAUCUUAGUCUUUGCCGAAAAACUGAUUUUGUGAAGGAAACAGCUAAUUACGGUUAUUUUUGUUUGAUUGUUUUCUAUUUUCAUUUACUUACUACACGAUGUGUGUGAAUUGAUCAAUUUUCAUGUAGUUACAUAAUUGCAAGACCAAGUGAUCAGAGCUAUUGUUAUAAGGUAAGCUAAAUUAAGAAACAUGUUUUAUUAAUUUUAACUCCCAAUUGUACGUAGUAAUUGGGGUUAAAAGAAGGAGGGUCUAAACCUGCGUAUAAUUAUAAUUAUGGCAAUUUCAUGUUUUUUUAGUAGUAAUUUCAUGUUAUUUACAUUUUAUUUUUUUAUUUUCGGAUUAACAUUUAUUUAUUUUAAAAGUGAAUCUUUGAUUCUGCUAAAAAUGGGUAUUUGGCAUAAGCAGUUUGCACUAAGGCUUUUUUGUUUUUUUUUGUAAAGGUAAAGCAUCAAUGUAGCCAUUCAGUAUACACUGUAUUUUGUUCAUCGUCGAGGUAUUUUAAGCAGUCUUUAUUUAUUAUGUAGAAUGUAUUUUUUUUUCUUUUUGGUGAAUGCAUGCAUGGUGUUUUUUUCAAAAAAAAGGUGAAUGUAUGCAUGUUGAUGUUGUAUAUAUAUAUGUAAAAGCCAUUAUUCACUGCAAAUAGGCCGUUGAUAUCUUAUUUAGCGUUGGGUACGUAAUGUGUCCUGGUCACGGAAUUAGUUCAAGAAAUUGUAUCCAGUCGGAACAUGUAUUUGUACAAUAUCAUUUAUACAACUAUACUAACAUUUAAUAAAUUUAUGAAAGUUCAAGAAGCAAUAAUUAUGUACUAUCCAUGUACUCAUAUAUGAGAUUCAAAUAGAGUUUAAUUUAAAAAUCCCUUCUACUUAAAUUCAUAAGACGUAUAUUAUAUUUUUAUGCAUGUUAAGUAAGUAAAACUGAAGUAAUUGAAAUAUUUUCCAUAACUUACUUUUUAAUAUAAUAUAUUAUCUGAUGCAGCGAGUUUAAGACCUUUUGAAAAUGCAGUUUGGAGAACUUUUUUUUCACGUAUAAUUAGUAUGAAAAAAUUUAAAUUAUUGUAAAAGUUAAUAUUUCGUCUAAAAAAGGUUGAUUAUUGGGCUACGAAUACGAUUACAAAUUAAUAUUUCGUUUAAAAAUCGUAAAAAGUUUAAACCAUCAGCAAAAUCAGUUGUGGGUUGUGAGCACUAGUUGUGAGUGUGUUGAGUUGACCAAAAGGAAAAGAAAAGGUGAUGUUUUAAAAAAAAAAAAAAAAUGGGUAAAAAUAAAACUGUAAAAGAUAGAGCCGACAAAGAAAAAGAAAAAAUAAGCGACGGUAAAUGGUAAAGUACCGUAGGUAAGAAAAAAAAGGAAACUCGAUAAUCCCGUAAAAUAGAGAAAAAAAACAGAGACGGCUAGAAAAAAAAAAACUGGUAUGCGACGAGGAGAAGUCGCCGACGGAAGCGAGAAGCUAAGGCCGUAGUUACGCGGGACGGUAUUAGUCUCCCGAGACGUUGAUUAGUCUCCUCCGGAGAGGAUACUUAUGUGAUCUUUUGUAAGAUUCUUAGGUAGACUGUGUAGACUUGCAAAAGACAGCCUUUUGACAUCUUUGUUCACUGUCACACGAUGAAUCACGCUCUUGUAUAUCCCGUUGCUCAUCACUUCUACUUGAUCUCCCAGCUGAACUAUCAAAGCUCCUUCAAUGUAUGGUACGCUGACCCAAGCUUUGUUGCAAUCCAUUAUCUGGAGACCCUGGCUACUUUGGAGUAAGAUGGUCAGUGAGCUGAAGUCUGAGUGUGGUGGCAUUCCCAAUGCGAUUUCGGGUUCUGGACAUGUUGGAUAGCAGUUCACUGCCAUGACUUGUGACCCUUCUUCAAUCUCUUCUUGUAACAUGGAGGAUUUGAUGGCCACAUAUCGAUCCACUUUGGGAGUGGAUGAGAGUAAUGCUUGAUGAAAUCUCUCCAGUAGUGAACACUGUCUGUUGAAUGGUUAAGGCUUGUGCCGUACCUUACUGGCUCAUGAACAUUCGCAGACACAAG